AUGCGAUAAGUAAUGUGAAUUGCAGAAUUCAGUGAAUCAUCGAAUCUUUGAACGCACAUUGCGCCCGCUGGUAUUCCGGCGGGCAUGCCUGUUCGAGCGUCAUUUCAACCCUCAAGCCCCCGGGUUUGGUGUUGGGGAUCGGCUCUGCCUUCUGGCGGUGCCGCCCCCGAAAUACAUUGGCGGUCUCGCUGCAGCCUCCAUUGCGUAGUAGCUAACACCUCGCAACUGGAACGCGGCGCGGCCAUGCCGUAAAACCCCAACUUCUGAAUGUUGACCUCGGAUCAGGUAGGAAUACCCGCUGAACUUAA
This 308-nucleotide unclassified non-coding RNA is filed under the name uncultured Gibberella. RNAcentral's name for it is "partial contains 5.8S ribosomal RNA, internal transcribed spacer 2, and large subunit ribosomal RNA". The stretch from base 1 to 102 matches the Rfam family "5.8S ribosomal RNA", at positions 53 to 154 of the family's 154-position model. Lineage: Eukaryota; Fungi; Ascomycota; Sordariomycetes; Hypocreales; Nectriaceae. The record is from RNAcentral.